AGAGUUUGAUCAUGGCUCAGAACGAACGCUGGCGGCAUGCUUAACACAUGCAAGUCGAACGAGCAUGAGCCUUAGCUUGCUAAGGAGUUCUGCUAGUGGCGCACGGGUGAGUAACGCGUGGGAAUCUGCCCUAAGGUACGGAAUAACAGCGGGAAACUGCUGCUAAUACCGUAUGAUGUCUUCGGACCAAAGGUUUACUGCCUUAGGAUGAGCCCGCGUCAGAUUAGCUAGUUGGUAAGGUAAUGGCUUACCAAGGCUCCGAUCUGUAGCUGGUCUGAGAGGACGACCAGCCACACUGGAACUGAGACACGGUCCAGACUCCUACGGGAGGCAGCAGUGGGGAAUAUUGGACAAUGGGCGAAAGCCUGAUCCAGCAAUGCCGCGUGAAUGAUGAAGGCCUUAGGGUUGUAAAGUUCUUUUGCCAGGGAAGAUAUUGACGGUACCUGGAGAAUAAGCACCGGCUAACUUCGUG
RNAcentral lists this ribosomal RNA (472 nucleotides) under uncultured bacterium. RNAcentral's name for it is "bacterial SSU rRNA". It matches the Rfam family "Bacterial small subunit ribosomal RNA", at positions 8 to 507 of the family's 1533-position model. The record is from RNAcentral.